This 468-nucleotide ribosomal RNA is filed under the name uncultured bacterium. RNAcentral describes it as "partial 16S ribosomal RNA". It matches the Rfam family "Bacterial small subunit ribosomal RNA", at positions 28 to 507 of the family's 1533-position model. The record is from RNAcentral.
GACGAACGCUGGGGGGGGGCUUACCCCAGGCAGGUCGAAGGGAAGGGCCCGGCUUUGUUGGGGUGCUCGAGGGGCAACCGGGUGAGAAACACGUAGUUAACCGGCCCUGGACUUUGGGAUAACUUCGGGAAACUGGGGCUAUUACCGGUUAGGAGCUCCGGCUGAUUGGGGGGGUUGGGAAAUUUUCGGCGGUUGGGGAUGGACUCGCGGCUUAUCAGCUUGUUGGUGGGGUAGUGGCUUACCAAGGCUUUGACGGGUAGCCGGCCUGAGAGGGUGACCGGCCACAUUGGGACUGAGAUACGGCCCAGACUCCUACGGGAGGCAGCAGUGGGGAAUAUUGCACAAUGGGCGGAAGCCUGAUGCAGCAACGCCGUGUGCGGGAUGACGGCCUUCGGGUUGUAAACCGCUUUCGCCUGUGACGAAGCGUGAGUGACGGUAAUGGGUAAAGAAGCACCGGCUAACUACGUG